AGGGUUUGAUCCUGGCUCAGAACGAACGUUGGCGGCGUGGAUUAGGCAUGCAAGUCGAGCGGGAUUCUAUUUCUUCAAUUCUUCGGAAGAGAAAAUUUAGAUGAGAGCGGCGAACGGGUGAGUAAUAAAUGGGUAAUUUGCCUCUUUGUUCGGGAUAGCCAUCGGAAACGAUGAUUAAUACCGAAUGUGUUCGGGUGCUGCAUAGCACCUUAUAUAAAGGCGGGGAUUCUUCGGAACCUGUCGCAAGGAGAUAAGCCCAUUUCCUAUCAGCUUGUUGGUGAGGUAACGGCUCACCAAGGCUUACGGGUAGCUGGUCUGAGAGGAUGAUCGGCCACACUGGAACUGAGACACGGUCCAGACUCCUACGGGAGGCUGCAGUCGAGAAUCAUUGUCAAUGCACGGAAGUGUGAACAUGCGACGCCGCGUGGAGGAAGACGGCCUUUGGGUUGUAAACUCCUGUCAGCAGGGAGGAAUUACGGGUUCCUUAAUACGGGAUCCGUUUGACAGUACCUGCAGAGGAAGUCACGGCUAACUCUGUGCCAGCAGCCGCGGUAAUACAGAGGUGGCGAACGUUGUUCGGAUUUACUGGGCGUAAAGGGUCCGCAGGCGGUCUUGUGUGUCGGAUGUGAAAGCCCACGGCUCAACCGUGGAAUUGCAUUCGAAACUGCAAGACUAGAGUACUGGAGGGGAGAAGGGAACACUUGGUGUAGCGGUGAAAUGCGUAGAUAUCAAGUGGAACACCGGCGGCGAAGGCGCUUCUCUGGACAGAUACUGACGCUCAUGGACGAAAGUUAGGGUAGCGAAAGGGAUUAGAUACCCCUGUAGUCCUAACCGUAAACGGUGUGCGCUAGGCGUGGGUGGCUUUACCCCCAAUCC
Molecule: ribosomal RNA, 876 nt
Filed under: uncultured Verrucomicrobiota bacterium
Lineage: Bacteria; Pseudomonadati; Verrucomicrobiota
Description: bacterial SSU rRNA
Rfam family: Bacterial small subunit ribosomal RNA
Source: RNAcentral